RNAcentral lists this ribosomal RNA (567 nucleotides) under Leptopelis cf. kivuensis 1 FP-2014. RNAcentral describes it as "partial 16S ribosomal RNA". It matches the Rfam family "Bacterial large subunit ribosomal RNA", at positions 1809 to 2607 of the family's 2925-position model. The record is from RNAcentral. Lineage: Eukaryota; Metazoa; Chordata; Amphibia; Anura; Arthroleptidae.
AAAAACAUCGCCKCUUGAUUACCAUAAGAGGUCUAGCCUGCCCAGUGACCAAUUUAACGGCCGCGGUACCCUAACCGUGCAAAGGUAGCAUAAUCACUUGUUUCUUAAAUGGGGACUAGUAUCAAUGGCAUCACGAAGACUACACUGUCUCCCCUUUAAAAUCAAUGAAACUGAUCCCCUCGUGAAGAAGCGAGGAUAUAAAUAUAAGACGAGAAGACCCCAUGGAGCUUUAAACGAACUUCAAUUGCUCCCCUCCUUACCAUAUAAGUUGAGCACUAAUGAUAGGUAGUUUUCGGUUGGGGCGACCGCGGAGUAAAACAAAACCUCCACAAUGAAUGUAAUAAAUACUAAUAAAAGAACCACAAUUCUAAUAAUCAAAAAUUUGACAUAAAUUGACCCAAACACUUGAUCAAUGAACCAAGUUACCCUGGGGAUAACAGCGCAAUCCAUUUUAAGAGCCCUUAUCGACAAAUGGGUUUACGACCUCGAUGUUGGAUCAGGGUAUCCCAGUGGUGCAGCCGCUACUAAUGGUUCGUUUGUUCAACGAUUAAAACCCUACGUGAUCUG